Molecule: ribosomal RNA, 795 nt
Filed under: uncultured bacterium
Lineage: Bacteria
Description: bacterial SSU rRNA
Rfam family: Bacterial small subunit ribosomal RNA
Source: RNAcentral
AGAGUUUGAUCAUGGCUCAGAUUGAACGCUGGCGGCAUGCCUUACACAUGCAAGUCGAACGCGAAAGUAGGGGCAACCCUGCGAGUAGAGUGGCGAACGGGUGAGUAAUACAUCGGAACGUACCCAGGAGUGGGGGACAACCUCGAGAAAUCGAGGCUAAUACCGCAUACGUCCUGAGGGAGAAAGCGGGGGAUCUGCAAGGACCUCGCGCUCAUGGAGCGGCCGAUGUCGGAUUAGCUAGUUGGCGGGGUAAAGGCCCACCAAGGCUACGAUCCGUAGCUGGUUUGAGAGAACGACCAGCCACACUGGGACUGAGACACGGCCCAGACUCCUACGGGAGGCAGCAGUGGGGAAUUUUGGACAAUGGGCGCAAGCCUGAUCCAGCCAUGCCGCGUGAGUGAAGAAGGCCUUCGGGUUGUAAAGCUCUUUCGGCCGGAACGAAAUCGCGUACGUGAAUAACGUGCGUGGAUGACGGUACUGGAAGAAGAAGCACCGGCUAACUACGUGCCAGCAGCCGCGGUAAUACGUAGGGUGCGAGCGUUAAUCGGAAUUACUGGGCGUAAAGCGUGCGUAGGCGGUUUUGUAAGUCAGAUGUGAAAUCCCCGGGCUUAACCUGGGAACUGCGUUUGAAACUACAGAGCUAGAGUACGGCAGAGGGGGGUGGAAUUCCCGUGUAGCAGUGAAAUGCGUAGAUAUGUGGAGGAACACCGAUGGCGAAGGCAACCCCCUGGGCCGAUACUGACGCUGAGGCACGAAAGCGUGGGGAGCAAACAGGAUUAGAUACCCUAGUAGUCC